RNAcentral lists this ribosomal RNA (388 nucleotides) under Bacillus sp. LIPOA/UEL_20. RNAcentral's name for it is "bacterial SSU rRNA". It matches the Rfam family "Bacterial small subunit ribosomal RNA", at positions 79 to 460 of the family's 1533-position model. Lineage: Bacteria; Bacillati; Bacillota; Bacilli; Caryophanales; Bacillaceae. The record is from RNAcentral.
CUUGCUCCUUGGAUUCAGCGGCGGACGGGUGAGUAACACGUGGGCAACCUGCCUGUAAGACUGGGAUAACUCCGGGAAACCGGGGCUAAUACCGGAUAACUUCUUUUCCCGCAUGGGGAGAGGUUGAAAGACGGUUAUGCUGUCACUUACAGAUGGGCCCGCGGCGCAUUAGCUAGUUGGUGGGGUAACGGCCUACCAAGGCGACGAUGCGUAGCCGACCUGAGAGGGUGAUCGGCCACACUGGGACUGAGACACGGCCCAGACUCCUACGGGAGGCAGCAGUAGGGAAUCUUCCGCAAUGGACGAAAGUCUGACGGAGCAACGCCGCGUGAGUGACGAAGGCCUUCGGGUCGUAAAACUCUGUUAUCAGGGAAGAACAAGUGCCGUU